RNAcentral lists this unclassified non-coding RNA (253 nucleotides) under uncultured Lysobacteraceae bacterium. RNAcentral describes it as "uncultured Xanthomonadaceae bacterium contains 16S-23S intergenic spacer region". It matches the Rfam family "Bacterial small subunit ribosomal RNA", at positions 524 to 776 of the family's 1533-position model. Lineage: Bacteria; Pseudomonadati; Pseudomonadota; Gammaproteobacteria; Lysobacterales; Lysobacteraceae. The record is from RNAcentral.
UACGAAGGGUGCAAGCGUUAAUCGGAAUUACUGGGCGUAAAGCGUGCGUAGGUGGUUGUUUAAGUCUGUCGUGAAAGCCCUGGGCUCAACCUGGGAAUGGCGAUGGAUACUGGGCGACUGGAGUGCGGUAGAGGAUGGCGGAAUUCCCGGUGUAGCGGUGAAAUGCGUAGAGAUCGGGAGGAACAUCCGUGGCGAAGGCGGCCAUCUGGACCAGCACUGACACUGAGGCACGAAAGCGUGGGGAGCGAACAGG